Non-coding RNA from Bemisia tabaci, 471 nucleotides. The record is from RefSeq and is a predicted model, not a curated record. NCBI's taxonomy places the organism in Eukaryota, Metazoa, Arthropoda, Insecta, Hemiptera, Aleyrodidae.
UAGUACAACGAACAACUUUUCUGGAUUCUUCAGACAGAUGCAGUCUACGGUCGUUUGGUAUAUGGGAGUAUAACUCUCCACUGGAUAACGCAAAUAUGUUAUUGGACGUGGCACCUGUCAAGUCUAAAAGCAGCGUGUCGGGAGGUGGGCUGCGCCGCAUUUUCAAUCGGGACUCACGCAUCUAUAUCGAGCAAAGACCUCGCUUUCAUAAUCAAACGUUCACAAUAUGAUGAAAAAUUCCCCAGCUUUUUGACAGCCUCUUUUGACUUUCCUGUUCUUUUUCGGAUUUUUAUCAUCGCAUGGGAUAUACUUUCAGUAGCCAGGAGAAAGUUAUAGGAGUGAGAAUCGACCCUUUCAUUCCGAGCGUGAUUUUUCCUUGGCACUCCGGCUGAUCCACGUCAAAAACCCAUCUCUGUUGCCUUAAGAAUGGGACUGCUUUUUCAGUGCAUGAAUGAAGGAGUCACCAAGAAG